UGAACACAAAAUGGCGACACGUGGUUAGCAUUCGUCGCCAACGAGAAAUUGGGGUCGGCCCGAAAGCUCUAGAAUGCACCCCCCUUCUUCCCCGGGGCCUUCCACCUCCGCGAGUUUUAUGACUUAAAAAACCCCACAGGCUGGUCUGAAGAGGAAGACAAACAUAAAGAUGAAGUGCUUAAUUCAAGGUCACACAAUGUCGGGGAUGGACCUCCAGAUUUCCUUACUGACCUGCAUUAUCUUGUGGAUACCUGAGUGAAUUCCACACCACCCAUUUUAUAGAUGAAACCACUGAGACAUGGAGCAACUGACUGAGUAGUCACUGCCCCACCCCUGCCUGGAGCCUCACACAUGACUCGUCUCCUCUCAGUGACCACAGGUGAGACGUGGUCUUGUAACACAGUGGUUAAGAAUGUGACUUUGGAGCCAGCCUGCUAGGGGCUGAAUUCUGACUCAGCCAUUUACUAACUGUGUGACCUUAGGUGGAGUCUCACUCUGUAGCCCAAGCUGGAGUGGUGUGAUCUCGACUCACUGCAACCUCCGCCUC
Molecule: non-coding RNA, 547 nt
Filed under: Pan troglodytes (chimpanzee)
Lineage: Eukaryota; Metazoa; Chordata; Mammalia; Primates; Hominidae
Source: RNAcentral